Molecule: small RNA, 148 nt
Filed under: Pongo abelii (Sumatran orangutan)
Lineage: Eukaryota; Metazoa; Chordata; Mammalia; Primates; Hominidae
Description: Metazoan signal recognition particle RNA (ENSPPYG00000038913.1)
Source: Rfam by way of RNAcentral
GCUGGGCAUGGUGGUGCACGCCUGUAAUCCCAGCUACUCGGGAGGCUGAGGCAGGAGAAUUGCUUGAACCUGGGAGGUGGAGGUUGCAGUGAACUGAGAUCACACCACUGCACUCCAGCCUGGGUGACAGAGCAAGACUCUGUCUCAA